GCCCUACAAGUAUUAAAGGUAACGCCUGCCCAGUGACACUGUUUAACGGCCGCGGUAUCCUAACCGUGCAAAGGUAGCGUAAUCACUUGUCCUCUAAAUAAGGACCAGUAUGAACGGCUAAAUGAGGGCUGACCUGUCUCCCAGGGCCAAUCAGUGAAACUGAUCUACCAGUACAAAAGCUGGUAUAACAACAUAAGACGAGAAGACCCUGUGGAGCUUUAAAUCCAACCCAAGGCUUAUGCUAACGAACCAGCCAAAUGGAUUAAGAUUUUUAGUUGGGGCGACUUCGGAAUAAAACAAAACUCCCGAGCAUAAAGAAAAUUACUCUAACCGAGGCCUACACGCCAAAGCAAAUAUUGACCCAGUAUUACUGAUCAACGAACCAAGUUACCCCAGGGAUAACAGCGCCAUCUUCUUCAAGAGUCCAUAUCGACAAGAAGGUUUACGACCUCGAUGUUGGAUCAGGACACCCCAAUGGUGCAGCCGCUAUUAAAGGUUCGUUUGUUCAACGAUUAAUAGUCCUACGUGAUCUGAGUUCAGACCGGAG
Molecule: ribosomal RNA, 547 nt
Filed under: Gambelia wislizenii (Longnose leopard lizard)
Lineage: Eukaryota; Metazoa; Chordata; Lepidosauria; Squamata; Crotaphytidae
Description: partial 16S ribosomal RNA
Rfam family: Bacterial large subunit ribosomal RNA
Source: RNAcentral